AUUGAGCCCUUUCUUGCUAGAGGCAUCUGGAACUGGUACUUCUCGUCACAGCAUCAGAGACUCCGUGAGAGAGAUUGCUCCUGCCACAGGUCUUCUUGCUCGUUCCACAACCAGGGUACAGUCACCAGCUGGGCACUUGGAGGGGCCAGAGGCACAGCUCCACCAGGCUGUCUGGUGAGAAAAGCAGGAGGGCAAGGCCUGGCCCCAGGGGGAGAGGCUGGCAUCAUCCUAGCCUUCUCGGUCUGCAGGGACUCUCCUCUCCUCCUUUGGUGCAGGCUCCUAUGCAUUUUAAGACAGUGGUUGAGAUGGUUGUGUCGUGUAGUCAGUUAAUAUAUACGUGGUGAUAAUUUUGGACAAAUGCACAUGUACAUGAUGGCAUCUCCAGAAUCAAGAUACUAGACAUAUCCAACACCUCUAAAAUUUUCUUUAUUUCUUCUGUAGUUUUUUGGCUUGGUAAGUUCACUUAACAUGAGAUCUAUCCUCUAAAUAUAUUUUACUUUAUUUAUUAUUUUUUUAAAUUAAAUUUAUUUAUUUUCAGCAUAACAGUAUUCAUUAUUUU
This 559-nucleotide long non-coding RNA is filed under the name Mustela putorius furo (domestic ferret). RNAcentral's name for it is "lncRNA (ENSMPUG00000025883.1)". Lineage: Eukaryota; Metazoa; Chordata; Mammalia; Carnivora; Mustelidae. The record is from RNAcentral.